UACAGAGGAGCCAAGCGUUGUCCGGAUUUACUGGGCGUAAAGAGCGCGCAGGCGGUCGUUCAAGUCGAGUGUGAAAGCCCCCGGCUCAACUGGGGAGGGUCACUCGAUACUGAUCGACUCGAAGGCAGAAGAGGGAAGCGGAAUUCCCGGUGUAGUGGUGAAAUGCGUAGAUAUCGGGAGGAACACCAGUGGCGAAGGCGGCUUUCUGGUCUGCUCUUGACGCUGAGGCGCGAAAGCUAGGGUAGCAAACGGG
RNAcentral lists this ribosomal RNA (253 nucleotides) under uncultured bacterium. Its description in RNAcentral is "partial 16S ribosomal RNA". It matches the Rfam family "Bacterial small subunit ribosomal RNA", at positions 524 to 776 of the family's 1533-position model. The record is from RNAcentral.